This 465-nucleotide ribosomal RNA is filed under the name uncultured bacterium. Its description in RNAcentral is "partial 16S ribosomal RNA". It matches the Rfam family "Bacterial small subunit ribosomal RNA", at positions 28 to 507 of the family's 1533-position model. The record is from RNAcentral.
GACGGACGCUGGCGGCGUGCUUAACACAUGCAAGUCGAACGGAAAGGCCCCAGCUUGCUGGGGUACUCGAGUGGCGAACGGGUGAGUAACACGUGGGUGAUCUGCCCUGCACUCUGGGAUAAGCCUGGGAAACUGGGUCUAAUACCGGAUAGGACCGUGCUUUAGUGUGUGCGGUGGAAAGUUUUUCGGUGCAGGAUGAGCCCGCGGCCUAUCAGCUUGUUGGUGGGGUAAUGGCCUACCAAGGCGGCGACGGGUAGCCGGCCUGAGAGGGUGUACGGCCACAUUGGGACUGAGACACGGCCCAGACUCCUACGGGAGGCAGCAGUGGGGAAUAUUGCACAAUGGGCGCAAGCCUGAUGCAGCGACGCCGCGUGGGGGAUGACGGCUUUCGGGUUGUAAACCCCUUUCGGCAGGGACGAAGCUUUUGUGACGGUACCUGCAUAAGAAGCACCGGCUAACUACGUG